This 556-nucleotide unclassified non-coding RNA is filed under the name Hevea brasiliensis (rubber tree). Lineage: Eukaryota; Viridiplantae; Streptophyta; Magnoliopsida; Malpighiales; Euphorbiaceae. The record is from RNAcentral.
GAACUCCUCGGAGUCUGUGUUCCGGUGGGGUAGGUUCAGCCACAAAGAGCUGAAACAUGCAAAGCCAUAACCACCACCUCCACAAAAUAUCGCAUGGAAAAUUCCAAACUCAUGUGCAAUCUCUGCACACCAUGAAAAGAACAUGUCUGUGAUGAUACACAGUGGAGGCUGACAACAUGAUUCGUGGACAAUAUCAGAAAUUAAUUUCCUGAAAACGGGUUUGAGAGCUAGAGAAGAUUGAAGAAAAGUUGCGAUGAGAUCAUAGGGAAGAGAGUCGGUAUUUUCGGGAUUGGGAGGAAGGCCAUAAUCAGAGCUAUUGAAGGGGAUUUCAAGGAGGUGAAUUGAAGAGUCCUGAGGCAAAGAUGAUCUUAGCUCCUGAAUAUUGAGAGGCGUGUAAACAAAGGUUACCGUAUAAUCUUUUCUCUGCUGAAGUUGAAGGGCUAAAGCUAGGAAAGGGAUUAUAUGGCGUUGCGCCAUGAACGGAAUCAUUACUAUUCUCUGCUUACUUUCUGCCAUUCUUCUUCUCUAGAGGAAGAUUGGAAGUCCCGAAGUGACA